RNAcentral lists this ribosomal RNA (390 nucleotides) under uncultured bacterium. Its description in RNAcentral is "bacterial SSU rRNA". It matches the Rfam family "Bacterial small subunit ribosomal RNA", at positions 47 to 433 of the family's 1533-position model. The record is from RNAcentral.
CCUAACACAUGCAAGUCGAACGGUAACAGGAAGCAGCUUGCUGCUUCGCUGACGAGUGGCGGACGGGUGAGUAAUGUCUGGGAAGCUGCCUGAUGGAGGGGGAUAACUACUGGAAACGGUAGCUAAUACCGCAUAACGUCGCAAGACCAAAGAGGGGGACCCUCGGGCCUCUUGCCAUCGGAUGUGCCCAGAUGGGAUUAGCUUGUUGGUGGGGUAACGGCUCACCAAGGCGACGAUCCCUAGCUGGUCUGAGAGGAUGACCAGCCACACUGGAACUGAGACACGGUCCAGACUCCUACGGGAGGCAGCAGUGGGGAAUAUUGCACAAUGGGCGCAAGCCUGAUGCAGCCAUGCCGCGUGUAUGAAGAAGGCCUUCGGGUUGUAAAGACC